AAAAGAAAACCAGCGCACCCUGUGGCCCUCUAAAACAAACUGUUUUUGAACCUUGCUUUGCAGCACGGCCCGGGCCAGUGAUCCCAGGAAGCAUCCAGCAUGCCUGGCAGAAGCCAAAGCUCUCCCUGACCCCAGAGAGCGUUUGGGAAGGCGAGGCUCUCACUCUGACCUGCGCUGUGGAGAGCCACCCCCGGGGGAAGCUUUCCCUGCACAAGCUCGGCGAGCCCCGCCCGCUGAAGGAAGGGCUCGCUGCCCAGCUCACGCUCACCCUGCCCAAUGUCAGCAGAGAGGAUUCUGGGGAGUACAGCUGCGUGUUCCAGCAUGGCAAGAACACAGGCACAUCGACCAUUCAGGUUUCGGUCAUGCAAAAGUUCAACAAACGCAACUUGGGGAUCAUCGUGGGAGUGUCCUUGAGCAUCGCCAUCAUCUUCCUCCUCUGUUGCAUCUACAUGGUACAUAAGAGGUUAAAAGGAAAGAAACAGAAACAGGAAAGAGAAGUGAACGAUCCUUACACCACACUGGACCACAAAACAAUGUCCCCUGAUUAUGACAUCAUAAGAAGGACGACGGCAAACUCAUAAGAGUCUUGACCAGAGGCUGUAUGCCGCCCACACUAUCUUUGUGAUUUCUGCUUACUUUGUUUUAGGUUCUGUCGUGGCACAGUUUGAUUAUUUUGCGAAUAUUAAAGGGCGUCCCUAUUCCUUCCCUUUAAGCAAUGUUAGUUGUCACUUUAUCACUCAUUAUUAAGUUAUUUUCCAUUAUUUAUUACUUCGGUCAUCUGGCACUUUAACUGUGCAGGUUUAUAAUGUUGUCUAUAAUAAAAGACUCAAAAAACAAGAAUAAACACUUUCUCAUAGUUGGGUCAUAAUUUCAUCAGAGCCUUCAAUUGAGUAGAAGAGUAGAAAACGUCAAAUUCAUUGAUAUUCUUAAUUUCUGCAUAUUUGUGUCCUGAACUUGAUUAUUGCAUUCUAUUUGCUUUCGUUUCAUAUAUGUGUAAUUGUUUGCUUGCUUCUUGUGUUUUUCUAUUUUAUCAUCCUGUUUUUCUCUCUGAAAAUCAGCACAAAUGAGUACAAAUCGUUAGCCUGGCAGGACUGUAGCGGAGGCAGAGACCCUGGUGGUGUUCAGCCGCAUGCUCAAUGUAGCACUAGGUACUCUCCAGCCCUUACAGGACAGUGGUGAGUGCUAUAAUAUUCUUUGGUUGCUAGGGGUAAAUGGUGAGUAAGAGAUACUCUCUGGUUGCUAGGGGUAAAUGGUUGAUGCUAGGUUGCUGGUCGUUCAUUUAACACGCAGUCUCAUCUACAAAACAACCCCCCACCCUUGACAUAAUGGACAAUACUGUCUAUCUUGGCAUUCAUAAAAAUAUUCUUUCACCACUAAAAAAUCAUAUUCCGUCAUAGCAACAAGAUAAACCCGACAAUAGCCCUAAGAUAUGCCUAUACAGCAGUGAAAACGCUGCUCACUGAAUAACGAAAUAAACGAGAAAAAGUGUUUUAAAAUGAUACCACGUCAUUCUACAGUCAAUAUCUGGGACUAAAUAUUGAAUAAAUAUACAACCUUACUGGUGGUUUUACGUGUAGAGAUGAGACUGCGUGGUCAUAUAUUGUCUUGGACAAUCCGUUCGGGAAAUACAGGCGCGUUUGUGACGCCUGGGUAUCUUCCAAAAUAACUGUGCGUAAUACCACACCUGUUUUUUACUGUUUAUUACUUCUCAAAAUACUUCGGUUAUAUACGUUAUUUUUGAAAUUGAGAGUCUUUAAAUAGGUUCGUGGUAUUAUAUAAUGUGGAUAUUUCACACUGUGAUGUAAGCGUUAGUUAGGGCUGUAGUGUUUGUGAAGCAUGCAACAGUGAUGACGUAAGAAUUGGAACAUUGCCAAAACGUGGUGGACAGUUGAAAUUGUAUUCAUGUUGUCCCAUCCCCAUACAAGAAAACAUACGAGAGCACAGAGUAUAGAAAUACAUACAAGAGUUAAUUAUUGCACAUUUAGGUACUGUACCGCAUUGUGUGACAAUAAUUUUGCAUUAUUUUUAAUCUGAUAGCAAUGUUUCAUCUUAAACCUUCAUAAGGGGCUCAUUUAUAUGCUUUAUAGUGAACAAAAAGCAUUUUAUUCAAUUUUGGAGAGAUUUUGGAUAUGUUUCUGGACCCCUAGAUAUUUUAGACAACUGACUGAAAGCUUGUAAUUCCCACUCGAAAAUUAUGCAACAGUGAUUUUCUUGAGUCAAAACAGUUGAUUUGUUGUGAAAUAUGUGAAUAUGUUGUGAUUUACAGCAAUGCAUAAUUUAGACAUUUUGGAUAGAUUUGGAGACACUGGGUACACUGCUUAGUUUUUGCUUCAUACAUCUAUAGUAGUUCUACAUAUCCAUCCUUAGUCAAGAAGUUUUUGAUCUAGCACAUGUAUAACCUGCUGUAUAUAUGCAAUCUCUCAGUAUUUCAUUGCAAACUUAAAAAGUGCAGAUUCAAAAAUCAUUUUUGAUUUUUUGUCAAAACCAUUGCAUUUGUGGCACUUUAUUUCUUCCAAAAUUAUGAAUAUAAACUAAUCUGCAUUAGUAUUGUAAAUUACAAAUGUCUUGCUUCAUUUAAGCAAUUUUUUUAAGUCUCUGUGGUGUUCACAUCUGGAGUGAUAGAGCUUUAAAUAGGGUACCCCCUAAAUGGGCAAGGAUUGGCAAGAUUUGGCUUGUGCGCUAAGGGGUUAAAGAUUGUAUUGAUCAAGAAUAUAGUUAAAUGUAUGUGAUUAUGUGAAGGUCGAUGAAGAACAGCAGGUGUUCUAUGUUAUGUCUAAGAAUUUGUAACUAAGGAAAGGCUGAUGUAUACGAUCUAGAGAAUCUUUGAAUCUCAGUUUCAGGAGGAAAAUUGUAAACAUUUACUUAUUGGAAUUUUGUAAGUAACUUAUGUUGGGAAACAAUCUUGUGCAGAAGACCUUUGAGUUGCAAGAGAUGAGAAAGGACACACCGACCUAGAAAGAAUUGCUUUGUUAUAUCUAGUUAUUGUAUAGAUUAUAUUCUACUAAAAUGAAUAAAUGAAAAUCAAAUUAAUAACAGCAACAGUAAUAAUAUACACAUAUUCUGUUAGAAUAUGCUGGUGUGUAUGUAUAUGAGUUAAAUAUUUCAUGUGGAAUACAGCAUGUAUUGAAUGCAUUUAAAGUGCAUGUACAUUGGAACCGGAAGAUUAAACAAUUGUUAAUCGUGAGAACAAAUACUUGUUAUUCAAGUCACAAAAUGCAUACCUCUGUAAGUGUGUGUGGUGAAAUAUCUGUCAUUUAUUGAAAUUGAAAAUUAUAUAAUAGUUAUUGUUAAACUAACUGGUGACACAUAAGUGUGACCUAGGCUGGGAUUGGUUGUUUUAGAGGGAAGAUACAUCAUGGUAGAGGGAAAUCUGAUUGAAUAAAAAAGGAUGUAAAACGUAAUUCGGUGAGCUCUCUGUGUGUCUUUAUGGUACUGGAGACCUCCCAUAGGCCUAUGUGAAAUAAAAAGAUAAGAAGAAAAUAAAAGAGUAUUAGUAGAAAUCA
Molecule: long non-coding RNA, 3503 nt
Organism: Anguilla rostrata (American eel)
Lineage: Eukaryota; Metazoa; Chordata; Actinopteri; Anguilliformes; Anguillidae
Exons: 4
Source: RefSeq, a predicted model, not a curated record